Paramuricea clavata is the source of this 74-nucleotide non-coding RNA. The record is from the annotation of a GenBank genome assembly. NCBI's taxonomy places the organism in Eukaryota, Metazoa, Cnidaria, Anthozoa, Malacalcyonacea, Plexauridae.
GACCGCGUAGCUCAGUUGGCAGAGCAUUGGGCCAGCACCCCAAAAGGUUGUAGGUUCGAUUCCCACCAUGGUCA